AGAAAUAGGAGGUUCUCUACAUGAAAGUUGGAGGCUAAAAAGAGACACAUGGGGAGGAGGAACUUGUCCAAGACAGCAGAGGAGCUGAUACAGCAGAGCUGUUUGUGCCUACAGAUGUAUCAGGAAGCUAUACUAUCCACUUCAGAGAAACAACAACUACAAAAAAAAAAGCCGGGGUACAGAAGACUACUUUGACAGGACUGCAGAAUUCUCACCUCACUUCAGACUCUGCUGUUGCUUUUAGUCUUUCUGUUUUCCUUUACCAGUAAAGCCCCAUGUGAGCUUGUUUGAAUUCCUAUAGCAUCUACCAGCUCUAAUCAUAGUCCACAAAGAUAUGCAGAACCACAAAACAAAAUGCUUUUUGUUUUUCACCUUCAACUCUAAAGUGCUUUAUCUUGUUUUCUGAACAUGCAGUAGAGCACAUGUGAACUUGGGAAGGAACCCUGAGACGCAGGCACUGUCAUAAGCUCCCACGCUCCAAGUGGAAGUUGUUCUUGCCUGCAGACAAGCCUCAUGUCUAGCAUACAGCAUAUAGCUCUUCUGCUCACCAUUUCACCCUUCCUUUUGCAAGAGUUGAGGCAGGAAGGAGCAGCUGUAGGGAACUGAGGCUUGCUUCAAUUUAUUAUUGCAAAUUUUAUCCUGUAAGGAAGAAAGGGACUAGAUGAACUCUUUGUAGGUCCUGAGUGCACUAACAAGCCUUAAUGGCUCUGAGGAGCCUCACCUGCAGUUUCUACACAUACCUAUGGACCCAGGAGCUCUAUUUAAGCUCAGCCCCGGGGUUUCAGUCCUCACUUGAGCUGUGUCACUGUUUUUCAGUUCAGCUGUGUCUGUGCCACAGCAAUACUUGAUCUGGGCCUCAAUAAGUGGACUGAAUUCCUGGUUCAGCUUCAGCCUGGUCUUAUGGCGAUGGCUCUGCCUUGGUGCUUCCUGGACCUGAUCCUAACCAUGACUGCAGGAUUGUGCUCCUAUCUUCACCUUGGAUCUCUCUCUUCAUCUUGAUGCUGCCUUGUGGACUUCUGGCUGAGUGUGACCUCUGUCAAGUCUGUCCUGUACAGGUGCUGUGAGAGUGGGUCCUGGAUGGUGAGGUCCCUGCCCUGCUAGUGAGGUUAACCAUUUUUGCUCCUACCUUACCUUCCCCCUUAGGGAAGACUCUUGUUCCUGCUGCUCUCUGACAACCUCAAACAUGAGGUUUACCCUUAAGUUACCUGAAUCGCUGCUAUUUUUAAGGGGGUGGAAAUAUUCCCUAAUUAAAAAGCUAUUUUGAAGAUGGAACAGAGCUUCUCCCCUUUCACAGAGCAGUUUGCACACCCUUUUCCUGAUCCCCACAUUAACAGGGGUUGGUAGCUGUGACAUUCCUACAGGAAAAACAGGUUAUUCUUUCCCUACUACCUGUGGCCCUCCCGUUGUUGCAUAUAGAUGCACACAAUGCAGGCAAAAUUUUUUUGUGGUGACAGUUAAGUAUUUCUUCUACCUAACAGCCCUAGGGUGUGAGGUACAAACUCCCACUAGUCGUUAUUGCUCUGUAUCCCCAAAUCUAAAAACAUGAUACUUCAUGGUCAUUUCUCUGCAUUUUCCUGACAAGAGAUCCUUUAACGCAAAGUUCCUGUGACAUAAAUCAUCUCUGUGCAACCUAUGGAAACAUCAGCAUUUAUGUGAUUCAGUUUAAGCCACGUGAGCAGAGGCCUGAUCUCUAUAAAUGGUUUCUGGUUUUGGUGUGCUGCCAGCCUCCCUCUUAUAUCACAGACAAGAACUCUAUAAAGCUAGGAAAGCACUCUAAGGAAUGAGUAACAGGAGCUUCCCGGUGACCUCCAGAAGAAGCAAAAAGCAUGGUAUGGAUUCACCUGGCAUAUUCCCUGAGUGAACCAAUUCCCAGCUGACCACAACUGAUAUCACAUUCCUUGUUCAUAUGAAACUGUGACCCAUCCACGGAUGUUUAGCAUGACUUGAAGAGCUCCACAUUUUUCCUGGAGCUCUCAAAGUGUGAAAUAUAGUGUCCUAGAAAAUAGCUUUAAAAGAAUUGCUCUGUCAUAGGGCAAUACAUGAAUUGCACACAUGAGCAGGACUGUUUCCCAAAGCUAGACUCAGUCCAUUUGCUAGACCAGAACCAGCCUUGUGAAUUCAAGCUCUAUAGUGAGAAAGACCCUGUGUGUAACCCUUGUUGGAGUGAAUUAGCUCAUUUCAGGGCCUUCCUUUGGGGAGAAGUAUUGCUUAAUUAUAGAAAGCUUUAUACAAAGAAACUUUGUAUCUAAUAAUGAAAACAAAGUUGUUCUCUGUAUUCUUCAACAUUGCUGGGGAGAAAAAGCAAUCUUCUGCAGUUAAGAAUAUACACAUAA
Tyto alba (common barn owl) is the source of this 2333-nucleotide long non-coding RNA. RefSeq lists it as uncharacterized. NCBI's taxonomy places the organism in Eukaryota, Metazoa, Chordata, Aves, Strigiformes, Tytonidae. The transcript is spliced from 3 exons. The record is from RefSeq and is a predicted model, not a curated record.